CACGCCGUAAACGAUGAUCACUAGGUGUUGGUCCUGCGUAGCAGGAUCAGUGUCGAAGCUAACGCGAUAAGUGAUCCGCCUGGGGAGUACGGUCGCAAGAUUAAAACUCAAAGAAAUUGACGGGGGUCCGCACAAGCGGUGGAACAUGUGGUUUAAUUCGACACUACGCGAGAAACCUUACCUAGGCUUGACAUGUAAACGCUACUAGUGGAAACACUGGGUUCUAUGGGAAACCAUAGACGGUUACACAGGUGC
RNAcentral lists this ribosomal RNA (255 nucleotides) under uncultured bacterium. RNAcentral describes it as "partial 16S ribosomal RNA". It matches the Rfam family "Bacterial small subunit ribosomal RNA", at positions 796 to 1041 of the family's 1533-position model. The record is from RNAcentral.